This 397-nucleotide ribosomal RNA is filed under the name uncultured bacterium. RNAcentral's name for it is "partial 16S ribosomal RNA". It matches the Rfam family "Bacterial small subunit ribosomal RNA", at positions 523 to 918 of the family's 1533-position model. The record is from RNAcentral.
AUACGUAGGUGGCAAGCGUUGUCCGGAAUUACUGGGUGUAAAGGGAGCGCAGGCGGGCGUGCAAGUCAGCUGUGAAAUCCAUGGGCUUAACCCGUGGGCUGCAGUUGAAACUGUAUGUCUUGAGUGAAGUAGAGGUAGGCGGAAUUCCGAGUGUAGCGGUAAAAUGCGUAGAUAUUCGGAGGAACACCGGUGGCGAAGGCAGCCUACCUGGCUGAUACUGACGCUGAUGCACGAAAGCGUGGGGAGCAAACAGGAUUAGAUACCCUGGUAGUCCACGCCCUAAACGAUGCCAACUAGUUGUUCGGGAAGGAGACUUCUUGAGUAACGAAGCUAACGCGUGAAGUUGGCCGCCUGGGGAGUACGGUCGCAAGAUUAAAACUCAAAUGAAUUGACGGGG